UACAGAGGUCUCAAGCGUUGUUCGGAUUCAUUGGGCGUAAAGGGUGCGUAGGUGGCAUGGUAAGUCGGAUGUGAAAUCCCGGGGCUCAACCCCGGAACUGCAUUCGAUACUGCUGAGCUAGAGUACUGGAGAGGAGAUUGGAAUUUACGGUGUAGCAGUGAAAUGCGUAGAUAUCGUAAGGAAGACCAGUGGCGAGGGCGGAUCUCUGGACAGUUACUGACACUGAGGCACGAAGGCCAGGGGAGCAAACGGG
This 253-nucleotide ribosomal RNA is filed under the name uncultured bacterium. RNAcentral's name for it is "partial 16S ribosomal RNA". It matches the Rfam family "Bacterial small subunit ribosomal RNA", at positions 524 to 776 of the family's 1533-position model. The record is from RNAcentral.